UUGGUUAAAGCCAAAAAGAGGCACAUUACUGUUAAUAAUGGAACUGAAAACUUUUUUUUCUAACCAAG
Molecule: transfer RNA, 68 nt
Filed under: Acetes chinensis (northern mauxia shrimp)
Lineage: Eukaryota; Metazoa; Arthropoda; Malacostraca; Decapoda; Sergestidae
Description: tRNA-Asn
Source: RNAcentral